UCUUUGCUGACGAGUGGCGGACGGGUGAGUAAUGUCUGGGAAACUGCCUGAUGGAGGGGGAUAACUACUGGAAACGGUAGCUAAUACCGCAUAACGUCGCAAGACCAAAGAGGGGGACCUUCGGGCCUCUUGCCAUCGGAUGUGCCCAGAUGGGAUUAGCUUGUUGGUGGGGUAACGGCUCACCAAGGCGACGAUCCCUAGCUGGUCUGAGAGGAUGACCAGCCACACUGGAACUGAGACACGGUCCAGACUCCUACGGGAGGCAGCAGUGGGGAAUAUUGCACAAUGGGCGCAAGCCUGAUGCAGCCAUGCCGCGUGUAUGAAGAAGGCCUUCGGGUUGUAAAGUACUUUCAGCGGGGAGGAAGGGAGUAAAGUUAAUACCUUUGCUCAUUGACGUUACCCGCAGAAGAAGCACCGGCUAACUCCGUGCCAGCAGCCGCGGUAAUACGGAGGGUGCAAGCGUAAUCGGA
This 470-nucleotide ribosomal RNA is filed under the name Escherichia coli. RNAcentral's name for it is "bacterial SSU rRNA". It matches the Rfam family "Bacterial small subunit ribosomal RNA", at positions 82 to 549 of the family's 1533-position model. The record is from RNAcentral. Lineage: Bacteria; Pseudomonadati; Pseudomonadota; Gammaproteobacteria; Enterobacterales; Enterobacteriaceae.